This 734-nucleotide ribosomal RNA is filed under the name uncultured bacterium. Its description in RNAcentral is "bacterial SSU rRNA". It matches the Rfam family "Bacterial small subunit ribosomal RNA", at positions 8 to 749 of the family's 1533-position model. The record is from RNAcentral.
AGAGUUUGAUCAUGGCUCAGAUUGAACGCUGGCGGCAGGCUUAACACAUGCAAGUCGAGCGGGGACUUCGGUCCUAGCGGCGGACGGGUGAGUAAUACUUGGGAAUCUACCUAGUAGUGGGGGACAACGUUUCGAAAGGAACGCUAAUACCGCAUACGCCCUACGGGGGAAAGGGGGGGAUCUUCGGACCUCUCGCUAUUAGAUGAGCCCAAGUCGGAUUAGCUAGUUGGUGGGGUAAAGGCCUACCAAGGCGACGAUCCGUAACUGGUCUGAGAGGAUGAUCAGUCACACUGGAACUGAGACACGGUCCAGACUCCUACGGGAGGCAGCAGUGGGGAAUAUUGGACAAUGGGCGAAAGCCUGAUCCAGCCAUGCCGCGUGUGUGAAGAAGGCCUUCGGGUUGUAAAGCACUUUAAGCGAGGAGGAAGGGUUCUUAAUUAAUACUUAAGAGCAUUGACGUUACUCGCAGAAUAAGCACCGGCUAACUCUGUGCCAGCAGCCGCGGUAAUACAGAGGGUGCAAGCGUUAAUCGGAAUUACUGGGCGUAAAGCGCGCGUAGGCGGUUGUAUAAGUUGGAUGUGAAAUCCCUGGGCUUAACCUAGGCACUGCAUUCAAAACUGUACAGCUAGAGUGUAGGAGAGGAAGGUAGAAUUCCAGGUGUAGCGGUGAAAUGCGUAGAGAUCUGGAGGAAUACCGAUGGCGAAGGCAGCCUUCUGGCCUAACACUGACGCUGA